UCUUGGUUUCCUGUUUUCCUGAAACUACUAGUUCAUGAUUGAAAAUUAAGUUUUUAUUACAUUUAGAAUAACUGAAACUGCAAAUAUAACUCAAAUGUAUUUAAACAUCAUCGAUUCUAUUGGAGAAGUGGUGUUGUGUCCCAUAUUUGAAACUAGCCAGUACAGUAUGUUUCAAGAAGACUCCCGCAUGUCUCUGCUAAUAACGCUCCCAGUGCACGGUGUUGUGAAAGAUAAAAAACAAACAACUACAAUAACAAAACAAUGAACCUAACACACUGCCCUAUUCAGGCAUUUUGUGUAAAAAAACAACUUGUGGAAUGUAAGGGUGCUGGACGUUUCGUGCCACUACCAGUUCGUGCCACUGAUAUUUGUGUAGGAGGGCAUUGGACGUUUCGUCCCACUGAUAAUAUAUAGGCGGAAGUCCUCAUCGUGGAUGUCAUCCUGGGUUGUGCUCGGUCCCAGCCCGAUGAUAUGGCUGCACGCUCUCAGCAGUUGAGUAGUUGUCAUGUCAUCGUCUUCGUACUUCUCCCAGAUCUCGAAGAGUCGCCCGUGCACUUCUUUGAAGAUUUUCCGGUGUACCCGAGUCAGGGCGUGCUCCGACACAAGUCGGAUUGUCAGAUCCACUGUUUCUGCCUCACGGCGCAACAGGGGGACUAGCACGUAAAACCCUAAGUCGGGACGCCCUGCUCGACCGUUGAUUCUGCGAUGCCAUCCUGGAAAAAAUAAAUAUGUUGUGAACUAUGAUGUUUAUUGGUUUUAUAUAAAAAUAUUUAAAUUAUAACUAUCCAAUGAAAAUAUGA
Long non-coding RNA from Dreissena polymorpha, 800 nucleotides. RefSeq lists it as uncharacterized. The transcript has 2 exons. The record is from RefSeq and is a predicted model, not a curated record. Lineage: Eukaryota; Metazoa; Mollusca; Bivalvia; Myida; Dreissenidae.